GACGAACGCUGGCGGCGUGCUUAACACAUGCAAGUCGAACGGAAAGGCCCUGCUUUUGUGGGGUGCUCGAGUGGCGAACGGGUGAGUAACACGUGAGUAACCUGCCCUUGACUUUGGGAUAACUUCAGGAAACUGGGGCUAAUACCGGAUAGGAGCUCCUGCUGCAUGGUGGGGGUUGGAAAGUUUCGGCGGUUGGGGAUGGACUCGCGGCUUAUCAGCUUGUUGGUGGGGUAGUGGCUUACCAAGGCUUUGACGGGUAGCCGGCCUGAGAGGGUGACCGGCCACAUUGGGACUGAGAUACGGCCCAGACUCCUACGGGGGGCAGCAGUGGGGGAUAUUGCACAAUGGGCGGAAGCCUGAUGCAGCAACGCCGCGUGCGGGAUGACGGCCUUCGGGUUGUAAACCGCUUUCGCCUGUGACGAAGCGUGAGUGACGGUAAUGGGUAAAGAAGCACCGGCUAACUACGUG
This 468-nucleotide ribosomal RNA is filed under the name uncultured bacterium. Its description in RNAcentral is "partial 16S ribosomal RNA". It matches the Rfam family "Bacterial small subunit ribosomal RNA", at positions 28 to 507 of the family's 1533-position model. The record is from RNAcentral.